UACGGGGGGGGCAAGCGUUGUUCGGAAUUACUGGGCGUAAAGGGCUCGUAGGCGGCCAACUAAGUCAGACGUGAAAUCCCUCGGCUUAACCGGGGAACUGCGUCUGAUACUGGAUGGCUUGAGGUUGGGAGAGGGAUGCGGAAUUCCAGGUGUAGCGGUGAAAUGCGUAGAUAUCUGGAGGAACACCGGUGGCGAAGGCGGCAUCCUGGACCAAUUCUGACGCUGAGGAGCGAGAGCCAGGGGAGCAAACGGG
This 253-nucleotide ribosomal RNA is filed under the name uncultured bacterium. RNAcentral's name for it is "partial 16S ribosomal RNA". It matches the Rfam family "Bacterial small subunit ribosomal RNA", at positions 524 to 776 of the family's 1533-position model. The record is from RNAcentral.